This is a long non-coding RNA of Phacochoerus africanus (Common warthog), 276 nucleotides long. RefSeq lists it as uncharacterized. The transcript has 2 exons. Lineage: Eukaryota; Metazoa; Chordata; Mammalia; Artiodactyla; Suidae. The record is from RefSeq and is a predicted model, not a curated record.
CCUUCUUGCUAAGAACAUUUUUCAAGAAAUAAAGCAAUUGGGAAAAUGCCUAAAGCACCAAACUAACCUGGUGACUUGAAGAUUUACUUCAAACUUGAAAGAAGACAAUUUGGAGGAACUUUUAUUAGAGAAUGUAUACUAGGAUUACUAGGAGGAAAAAUUGAUGCCAGAUGGGAAGGAGAUCAAGGUGAUGGACAAGUUCAAUUUUUUGACAGACUACAUUGAGAGGAAUAUUGGAAAGAUUCAGUCUGAAUAUUAUUAAACAUUUUUCUUUUA